AAAAGAGAAAUAGUAGGAAAAUCUAGAUGGUAGGGUUUUUAUGUUAUUAGAUUUGACAUGAGGGCCAUAUGCGGUAUGAAAUUGGAUCCUAAAUUUAGUGGUCAGAUUAAAAUAAUUUACUAUUUCUCUAAAAUCAAACCUAUGUCGUAAGCACUGUCCUCAGCAGAGCUUCUAUAACAAUCUCAUGGCUGCUUUCUUUUAUUUUUUCAACUGAGAUUUCGAUAUAGUAAAAAUUCCCUGUCACUUCAUUUUGCUUAUCGAUCGGAUAUACUUGCAUCAAGUGUAGUUGUAAAGAGGAAAAAGAUGUUAGGCUGUCCAAGUCACCAGUUGAUUUCCCUUGUUUUGAUCUUACUACUGAUAAUAGUUGAUCAAAGUUCACAAGAAAGCCCUUUGAAAUCUGCUGUGUUUCUAUCACCAGCAUUUGUGCUGGAACCUGGAUCAGUCUCUAACAAGUUUUACUACAACAUUGGCUUCCCAAAGGGCCAUAUUGCUAUCAAAAAUUUCGAUGCAGAAGUAGUUGAUGAGGGAGGUAAUCCUGUACCUCUCUACGAAACAUAUCUUCACCAUUGGAUUGUUGUAAGAUAUUAUCAACAAAAAGGUGUGAAAGUAACAAACUACCAUAAUAAUUUGGGGUUCCACCAAUCAGAUUUUAUUCUCAAGAGAAACUCAGGUAUAUGUGAUGGAGGACUUUCUCAAUAUUUCGGGCUUGGGUCAGAGACACGAAAAACAAUCACCUAUGUUCCAGAUCCUUAUGGAAUAG
RNAcentral lists this unclassified non-coding RNA (760 nucleotides) under Hevea brasiliensis (rubber tree). Lineage: Eukaryota; Viridiplantae; Streptophyta; Magnoliopsida; Malpighiales; Euphorbiaceae. The record is from RNAcentral.